This 452-nucleotide ribosomal RNA is filed under the name uncultured bacterium. RNAcentral's name for it is "bacterial SSU rRNA". It matches the Rfam family "Bacterial small subunit ribosomal RNA", at positions 134 to 566 of the family's 1533-position model. The record is from RNAcentral.
AGGUGGUGGAUAACCUUCCGAAAGGAGGGCUAAUACAGCAUAAGACCACGACUCCGAAAGGGGUUGAGGUCAAAGUCGGCCUCUAUUCAUAAGCUGACGCCAGGGGAUCGGCCUGCGGCCCAUCAGGUAGUUGGUAGGGUAACGGCCUACCAAGCCAAGACGGUAGCUGGUCUGAGAGGAUGAUCAGCCACACUGGAACUGAGACACGGUCCAGACUCCUACGGGAGGCAGCAGUGGGGAAUCUUGCGCAAUGGGCGAAAGCCUGACGCAGCGACGCCGCGUGGGUGAUGAAGGCCUUCGGGUUGUAAAGCCCUGUGGGGGGAGACGAAUAAGUCGUGGCGAACAGCCACGAUGAUGACGGUAUCCCCUUAGCAAGCACCGGCUAACUCUGUGCCAGCAGCCGCGGUAAGACAGAGGGUGCAAACGUUGUUCGGAAUUACUGGGCGUAAAGC